This 668-nucleotide long non-coding RNA is filed under the name Aplysia californica (California sea hare). RNAcentral describes it as "uncharacterized LOC101853344, transcript variant X1". The record is from RNAcentral. Lineage: Eukaryota; Metazoa; Mollusca; Gastropoda; Aplysiida; Aplysiidae.
UCACCUAGUAUAUUAAGCGGAGGGAGAGAGAGCUUUUCCGACACAUACACAGAGCUCGGACAAGUCAGUAGUCGUUGCCUGAGUAGACAAGUCGACAUCUCCAAACCAGACAACUCGUUGGAACCAUCACCAGUCAGAAUGUGUAAACUAUCCGUGGUGAGCGCAUGCGCUAUGCUUAUGACCUUGACCCUCGCAGUUCCAGUUCCGGAAAGUGACUCCGGACUGAACGACCUGACAACUGUAGUCCCGCCUGAAUAUUCAACCACUGCAAUCCCAGAAGGUGAGGAAGCGGCCACAGAAGUGACCAGUGAGGAGGCUGUGGAGCUGCCUCCCCUGGAGGCCCGGAGUGGACUGUUCCAGACUCUGAUCGCCGCCAACGUCCUGAGGAACUUGGGAGCUUUCAACAACAACAACGGGGUUUUCGGGGGAGGGAUCAACACGCAGGCAAUUUUGCAAUACUAUAUCCUCAACAGACUCGUGGGAUAGAACUGAAGCAGGGGCCACCUGCCCACGCGGAAGAGCCAGCUCACUUAAGGAGAGUCUCCAGAGAGAGAGAGAGAAAGAGAGAGAGAGAGAGAGAGAGAGAGAGAGAGAGAGAGAGAGAGAGAGAGAGAGAGAGAGACAUUUGUGAAAAUAUAGUUUAAAAUAAAUCUUCCUGGCUUCAACAG